UGCACAUGAUGCUCAGUGGCCGUCUUAGGAC
This 31-nucleotide non-coding RNA is filed under the name Rattus norvegicus (Norway rat). The record is from RNAcentral. Lineage: Eukaryota; Metazoa; Chordata; Mammalia; Rodentia; Muridae.